Long non-coding RNA from Solanum dulcamara, 936 nucleotides. RefSeq lists it as uncharacterized. The record is from RefSeq and is a predicted model, not a curated record. The transcript has 2 exons. Lineage: Eukaryota; Viridiplantae; Streptophyta; Magnoliopsida; Solanales; Solanaceae.
CCCCAAUUCAAUACCAUAUAAUACCCCUUUAGCCCAACCCAUUUCCUACUAACAUAUACACUAUCCAGUCCUUUCCUUUCGAGCAACAGACCCCAAUUUCCCAUUUCUCUCACAAUACAAUAUAUGCCUAGUACAUACGCACACAUAUCACCGACACGCGCGCUCCUUUUUCCCGUUCUCUCUUUCCCUCAGACUCACGUGCAGCAAGCUCCAAACUAAAAGCUCUAAUCAUCCCCAUUUUUCUGCGACGAUCCCCCAAAAUUCGGCGAAAUUUGUGUUCAUCCGUCUCCCUCAAGUCAAUUUGGGAGCAGGUAUCUCCACCCUUUUAGCAACUUUUUUCUCCUAUUUUUUUUCAAAUAAGAUCUUAGAGAAAUUUCUCUCCUCGCAAAUGUGUCUUUUUGAAAUUCAACUAAUUUUUUUGGGCUAUAAAUAGCACACUUGUUUUCAUGGGGAGAGGGGGCAACUAGUAGAGAGCUUGGAGAAAAUUGGAGUCUUUCAUUCACUAAUUUCUCUAUUUAUGUUUUCUCUGAUUUUCGAUAAUCAUUCUGCUAUUAUAAUAUCUUUUUAAUCACUAGCACUCGAAAUCAGUGUGAGAAUCGAUCUGCUCAACUCAUCGUUUUAAGUUCGCUGCCUAGAAUCAGGAAGCUAAUAUAGGUGGGUUAAAACCCAUGAGCAGUCGGAUCACAGUAGUAGCCUAAAGGGCUGGAAAUUGAAAUUUUUGGAUUUAAGAAUCCAACUUGAUCGUUGCAGCAGCAAGAGAUGUUUUGGGCCAAAGGUCUGAAAUUAUUUGAGCAGAGGCAAACUUGAGACUGCCCACUUUUAUUCUGCACUUAAUUAUUUUCUUAUAUUAUUAGUUCAUGAUAUUUGUUGCCAAUUCUAACAUCCAUUUUUUUUUUACUUAGAUGAAUCCUCAACGUUUUGGGUUUUCAAUGGUUA